AUUGAACGCUGGCGGAAUGCUUUACACAUGCAAGUCGAACGAUGAACCUUAGCUUGCUAAGGGGAUUAGUGGCGAACGGGUGAGUAAUGUAUCGGAACGUAUCCAAUAAUGGGGGAUAACUAGUCGAAAGAUUAGCUAAUACCGCAUACGCCCUACGGGAGAAAGCUAGGGACCUUCGUGCCUGGCGUUAAUGGAGCGGCUGAUAUCUGAUUAGCUAGUUGGUGGGGUAAAGGCUCACCAAGGCGACGACCAGUAGCUGGUCUGAGAGGACGACCAGCCACACUGGAACUGAGACACGGUCCAGACUCCUACGGGAGGCAGCAGUGGGGAAUUUUGGACAAUGGGCGAAAGCCUGAUCCAGCCAUUCCGCGUGAGUGAAGAAGGCCUUCGGGUUGUAAAGCUCUUUCGCAAGAGAAGAAAACUUAAGCUCUAACAUAGCUUGAGGUUGACGGUACCUUGAUAAGAAGCACCGGCUAACUACGUGCCAGCCGCCGCCGUAA
This 500-nucleotide ribosomal RNA is filed under the name uncultured bacterium. RNAcentral describes it as "partial 16S ribosomal RNA". It matches the Rfam family "Bacterial small subunit ribosomal RNA", at positions 30 to 523 of the family's 1533-position model. The record is from RNAcentral.